UACGUAGGGCGCAAGCGUUAUCCGGAAUUAUUGGGCGUAAAGAGCUCGUAGGCGGUCUGUCACGUCGGCUGUGAAAACCCGGGGCUCAACCCCGGGCCUGCAGUCGAUACGGGCAGACUAGAGUUCGGUAGGGGAGACUGGAAUUCCUGGUGUAGCGGUGAAAUGCGCAGAUAUCAGGAGGAACACCGGUGGCGAAGGCGGGUCUCUGGGCCGAUACUGACGCUGAGGAGCGAAAGCGUGGGGAGCGAACAGG
This 253-nucleotide ribosomal RNA is filed under the name uncultured bacterium. Its description in RNAcentral is "partial 16S ribosomal RNA". It matches the Rfam family "Bacterial small subunit ribosomal RNA", at positions 524 to 776 of the family's 1533-position model. The record is from RNAcentral.